CCUACGGGAGGCAGCAGUGGGGAAUAUUGCACAAUGGGCGCAAGCCUGAUGCAGCAACGCCGCGUGAGGGAUGACGGCCUUCGGGUUGUAAACCUCUUUUAGCAGGGAAGAAGCGAAAGUGACGGUACCUGCAGAAAAAGCGCCGGCUAACUACGUGCCAGCAGCCGCGGUAAUACGUAGGGCGCAAGCGUUAUCCGGAAUUAUUGGGCGUAAAGAGCUCGUAGGCGGUUUGUCGCGUCUGCUGUGAAAUCCCGAGGCUCAACCUCGGGUCUGCAGUGGGUACGGGCAGACUAGAGUGCGGUAGGGGAGAUUGGAAUUCCUGGUGUAGCGGUGGAAUGCGCAGAUAUCAGGAGGAACACCGAUGGCGAAGGCAGAUCUCUGGGCCGUAACUGACGCUGAGGAGCGAAAGGGUGGGGAGCAAACAGGCUUAGAUACCCUGGUAGUCCACCCCGUAAACGUUGGGAACUAGUUGUGGGGUCCAUUCCACGGAUUCCGUGACGCAGCUAACGCAUUAAGUUCCCCGCCUGGGGAGUACGGCCGCAAGGCUAAAACUCAAAGGAAUUGACGGGGACCCGCACAAGCGGCGGAGCAUGCGGAUUAAUUCGAUGCAACGCGAAGAACCUUACCAAGGCUUGACAUACACCAGAACACCGUAGAAAUACGGGACUCUUUGGACACUGGUGAACAGGUGGUGCAUGGUUGUCGUCAGCUCGUGUCGUGAGAUGUUGGGUUAAGUCCCGCAACGAGCGCAACCCUCGUUCUAUGUUGCCAGCACGUAAUGGUGGGAACUCAUGGGAUACUGCCGGGGUCAACUCGGAGGAAGGUGGGGAUGACGUCAAAUCAUCAUGCCCCUUAUGUCUUGGGCUUCACGCAUGCUACAAUGGCCGGUACAAAGGGCUGCAAUACCGUGAGGUGGAGCGAAUCCCAAAAAGCCGGUCCCAGUUCGGAUUGAGGUCUGCAACUCGACCUCAUGAAGUCGGAGUCGCUAGUAAUCGCAGAUCAGCAACGCUGCGGUGAAUACGUUCCCGGGUCUUGUACACACCGCCCGUCAAGUCAUGAAAGUCGGUAACACCUGAAGCCGGUGGCCCAACCCUUGUGGAGGGAGCCGUCGAAGG
Molecule: ribosomal RNA, 1115 nt
Filed under: Microbacterium hominis
Lineage: Bacteria; Bacillati; Actinomycetota; Actinomycetes; Micrococcales; Microbacteriaceae
Description: bacterial SSU rRNA
Rfam family: Bacterial small subunit ribosomal RNA
Source: RNAcentral